Molecule: RNA transcript, 7437 nt
Organism: Mus musculus (house mouse)
Lineage: Eukaryota; Metazoa; Chordata; Mammalia; Rodentia; Muridae
Gene: Gpr137b
Gene name: G protein-coupled receptor 137B
Exons: 8
Source: RefSeq, marked validated
CGCGGCGCUGCCAAUCGCACACAAAGGCCGCCCAGCAGAUCAUGUGGUGCGGCGGGAGGAAGUGCGGCUUGUUUUCCCGGCUAGGCUCUGGAGCGGCGGGCGCGGCGCGAUGCGCGGGUACCCGGGAGCGAACGGCUGCGAGCCCUGAUGAAGCUCGAGCAGCCCCAGCCUGAUGGAGGCGCCUCCGUGGGAGCCGGUGCGCAAUGACUCCCUGCCUCCCACGCUGAGCCCCGCGGUGCCGCCCUACGUGAAGCUCGGCCUCACCGCGGUCUACACCGUCUUCUACGCGCUCCUCUUCGUGUUCAUCUAUGCGCAGCUCUGGCUGGUGCUGCGCUACCGUCACAAGCGGCUCAGCUACCAGAGCGUCUUCCUCUUCCUUUGCCUCUUCUGGGCCUCGCUGCGUACCGUGCUCUUCUCCUUUUACUUCCGAGACUUCGUGGCAGCCAACUCGUUCAGCCCCUUCGUCUUCUGGCUGCUCUACUGCUUCCCCGUGUGUCUACAGUUCUUCACCCUCACGCUCAUGAACUUGUACUUCACGCAGGUGAUUUUCAAGGCCAAGUCAAAAUAUUCUCCAGAGCUACUCAAAUACCGGUUACCCCUCUACCUGGCCUCACUUUUCAUCAGCCUCGUUUUCCUGUUGGUGAAUCUGACCUGUGCUGUGCUGGUGAAGACGGGAGACUGGGACAGGAAGGUUAUCGUCUCUGUGAGAGUGGCCAUCAAUGACACACUCUUUGUGCUGUGUGCUAUCUCUCUCUCCAUCUGCCUCUACAAAAUCUCCAAGAUGUCCCUGGCCAACAUCUACUUGGAGUCAAAGGGCUCAUCAGUGUGUCAGGUAACUGCCAUUGGUGUCACCGUCAUCUUGCUCUACACCUCUCGGGCCUGCUACAACCUGUUCAUCUUGUCAUUUUCUCAGAUCAAGAACGUCCAUUCCUUUGAUUAUGACUGGUACAAUGUAUCCGACCAGGCAGAUCUGAAGAGCCAGCUGGGUGACGCCGGCUACGUAGUGUUUGGCGUGGUGCUUUUCGUGUGGGAGCUCCUACCCACCACCUUGGUGGUUUAUUUCUUCCGAGUCAGAAAUCCCACGAAGGAUCUUACCAAUCCUGGGAUGGUCCCCAGCCAUGGAUUCAGUCCCAGAUCUUACUUCUUUGACAACCCCCGAAGAUAUGACAGUGAUGAUGACCUUGCCUGGAACAUUGCCCCUCAGGGACUUCAGGGAAGGACCUCUCCGAGCCUACCCAGAGAGAGCCAGGGCAUGUGCUGCUCCACUCACUCACUGGAACGUGAUCUGGGACAUCCAGGCAGACAUCUUGGAUCCUCUUCUAAAGCCAGAGAAUAUAUGAACAAUUAUCACUAGAGUGAAUAUAUUAUAAGAACCAAAAAUUGAAAUUUGUCAUUCUUAACCAAUUAUUUCCUAAGAUACUGACAAGUGUCAUCUCGUUCAUUGUUUGCUACAGUUCUGUGAGUUUUGCUCCAGACUACUAUGAUUGGGGACAACAAAAUAACAGCUUCCUGGCACAAGCAGGAACUUUGCAUCAAGACUCCACUUUGGAUCCAGACAAAGCAAGCCAAGGGUAGCAGCAGCUGACACAGCCCUAUGGAAGAGUUCUCUGUUGAAAGCCUUCAGCCAGACAGACCGGAUGACAGCUGAGUUGCUAAGGCAGUUUUCCUUAGGAAACAGAACUCUAGUUUUUGCUAUAGCUUUCUCAUGGCUCCACAGGGCUAAGCAAUAAUUUAGAGCAAUAAACUCUUUAGUACUAGCAGAGAAUCUGGCUAUUUCAGUGGGUAUAAUUUAAACUUAUAAAAGAGGUUCUGUACUUUUAUAAAGAUGUAUUUUAUAUAACUUAAAUACUAAUGCUAAAGUAUACUAGGUUUUUCCUUGAUUGUUAAUUGCAACGUAUGUUGUAGUUUGCACAGACUUUCAUGCAUAAUUCACUUUAAAACGUAUAGAAUACGUGGUCUAAUAGUUUAAAGCUUUGGGGAAAGUUUCCACAAAUCUUACCUCUGAAGGUCCCUCUUGUGAGUGCCACGUGGUGGGCUCCUUUCACCGCCACUCAAGCAUUCCAAGUUCAGGAGAAGCAGAGUACCAUGGUCUGUACGUAACAGGCUCAACAGCAGCAGCAGCAGCAGCAGCAGCAGCAGCAAUUUCUCGUAAACUCUGUCCUAAGCCUGGUCCUUCUUCAUCUGAAAGCACUACUACAAGCACUCCAGUAACAAGUGGAUACUGUUAAGAUGUAGUUGCUGACACUAUUAAACCUCCUCUGCUGUGUGUGUAGCCAUUUUGUAGAGUUUUCUUCAGCCCGGUGUAACUGAAUACUCACUACCUCAGUACCUCAGUAGGAUGCAAGGACUGUGCCUUCUUUGACUCAGCCAGUGCUUGCUAUAGUCAGGCUACAAGCCAAGAGGUCCCCACAGAGUAUUAACAAUAAAUACUUCUGGCCUUCAAGCUCUAAAGGAUUGCAGACUCCUGACAGCUUUUCUGUAAGACAUGCCUGUCAUUUGUAUGAGGCUGACACGGGGCUCACUGCCUGUUAUUUUUAGAUAGUGUUCUAUUAAAAGCUAUGUGUAUGAGAAAGUAGGCUCUGCCUACGUGGCGGCAGCAUCCCCAUAUCAGCCAGAGAGUGUUCCAGACAGUGGUCCUCUUGUGCCAUCUCCGUGCUGUCCUGGGAAAACGCUGGAACAACGUGGCCCUCCUGGAGGCCGGAUGCUCUGGCUUCUUCUGGUCCUAUAGGUCACAGAGCCACGCCCACUUUCUCCCAUUUUGUUAUAUUUAAGAUUGGGAGCCCAGUUUCCAGUGGGUUGUAAUGGGGUCUUCGUUGUACAGAGGACGACGUGGAGGAACUUGCGCAGCCCCGCCCCACACCCUGCCUUUGGGUUUGAGUAAACAUCUGGGUUGCAAGCCAUUUAAAAUUGCUUCUUUGCCAGGGUGAAUUCUGGCAAAGCCUACACAAAUCGCCUGUACGAUAGCACUGUAUAAAAGUUUAUCUGUCACCAUACCUGCAAUGAUUUGGCUGUUGCAGCCAGUGCCCACAGCUCCUGUGUCCUUGUCUCUAGCAGGGCGGUACCUGUCAGCAGCCAAGGGCAAGGCUUGCUGGAAAGCACAGCCUCAUUAAGGCUGUUCUGUUUGCACCCAUUUUGUAGCACAUGCACACUUUACAGUUGGUGAAUGCUGGGCGUCUGUUUUCUUACAGUAACAAGCAAGCUAUCAUCCAUUUUUACAAUAAAGUUGUCAGCAUUCAUGUCAGCAAUAAAAAGACUACAGCUCUUAAAUGUUGUCAACUGGUGCUGGAAUAUACACGUGCAGUGGCUGUGUACCACAUGUCGGGAAGGAGGUCUGAACCGGCUUUGCGUCUUCUCCCUUACUUCCUCUGCUAACAAAACUGUUCCUAAUGUGUUAAACAUAGGAAAAGAAAAGUUCAUGUUCACAUCAUGAAACUAACAACCUGGUGAUAUUACAGCACAUGGGGCCAAGCAUGGUAUUUUGGUUAUAAUCCCAGCGCUAGCUUAAGUCUGAAGUUAGCCUGGGCUAUAGCAAUACUCUGAGAUAAGUAAGUUCAUGGGAAUGAGGCAUUACCACUGAAAAUGUAACUGUCUGCUGUAACGAGGACAGGACACACCUUUUUAGCUGCUGAGCCAUUUGCCUGAGCAGUUAAGAAUUCUGGCCAACCUGUGUUCAUAUCCAUCAUUGAUUGACACAUAUUCCUUAGAUAGAUAGCUAAUGUCUGGAGUGUUACAAGUAGAGUUAUGAACUAGAAGUUAUUACAGUAUAUGUCCCAGUCACAUUUUAUUGUGGAACCAACACUAGACCCCUAUGAAGAGCAAAAGAAGUAUUAGUUACUGGGCACUUCAGAAGCAAUGUGAGAAUCUCAUUUGGAGGUCUAUAUUGUCUGUUAGAAUGUUAUGCACACAUAUGCAUGUGUGCCUACCUUCACAGGGAAGAUCAUAUCCAGGCCUGCUAAGCACUGGAUAUGCCUUGCCACUGCGCUACACACAUUCUAGCCUUUGCUGUUUGUUCUACUACAAGGUUACAAAUAAUUUAUCAAAAUUUACAAGUUUAGCCAAUUAUUGUAGAAAAAGAAUCCUUCUUUCACUCUUAUCAGACAGCAAUUUAAACAACAGACUGAUGCAGAAACACAUCCGUGUGCAGUUCUACUUUAUCCAGUAUGCAUGAGCUAUUCACAGCUUCUGAUGGAUCCAGAUGGUAGAGCUAUUAGGAAAAGGAGCAGGCUCAAAUCAGAGUUCUCAUCAAAAACUAAAUAAAUAGGACAAUUAAAGUGAGAAAACUUUUUAAAUGGAACUGUGAAGACAGACAGUGGAAUUUAGUCUACUGGGUGCCUCUGUUGGACUGGGAAGUUGUCAUGAGUUUGGAUCUGAGACCACACUAAGAGAAUCGCACAUAAACUUCCUCUCCGCUCCUGGCAGGACACAUGAAAAACCCUCUCCCAAUGGAACAAAUACCUGAUCCCUAUGUCCCAAACGAUUACACUUCUUAUGCUUUUGCUUCAUUCUUGCCCUGGGUAGGUUCUGUGUUCAAUAUGGACUCAUUGAACCCAAAUGCCUAUAGGAUCCACACCUACCUCCCCAAACCCUCAUCUCCCUCCAUGUUUGGAUGCAGAUAGCUUACUAGUGUCUUCUUUUCCCCUAAGCCUUACCUGGUUCACCCCUCAAAUUCUGAUUUUCUAUAACCUGAGUGGAGCAUAUGUUCUGAACUUUAGCCUCCUCAGAACUGGAGUUCAGAGCCUCACUUUCUUCAGCUCAUAUGAGCCUCAAAAUUCUUCCCUCUCAACUCUUGUUUACGUAACUGUUACCCAUGACUCUGACACCCACUAGUCACUCGCCGAUCAUGGUCUUCCUUCAAGACCCUAACUGAAGCAUAAGAGUGCAUGCAUUCAGAUAAACAGGGUCUUCUCAGGCCUGCUGUGCGAGUCUCUAACAGAUACCCAACUCUUUGGACAAAUAAAUGGAGGGGACUCUUUUUUUUUUUUUUUUUUUUUUUUUUUUUUUUUGUGGUUUUUCGAGACAGGGUUUCUCUGUGUAGCCCUGGCUGUCCUGGAACUCAUUUGGUAGACCAGGCUGGCCUCAAACUCAGAAAUCUGCCUGCUUCUGUCUGCCUCCCAAGUGCUGGGAUUAAAGGCGUGCACCACCAUGCCCGGCCAGCUCGUCUUACAAGAUGAGCUCUGACUCCAUGGUGGUGUGCUGGACCUCUAUGAACGUCCCCACUUAGUAAGAACUCAGAACUACCCAAGGUAGCUGAAAAGAAAAUCUAAGAUCUUUACAUUCUAACAGUUAAGUUCAAGAGGUUAAAAGUACCUUGAAUCUAAGAUUGUAGUUGUAGGUAGAAUGCUUGCCCAUGUGUCCAGUUCCCCGCACUGCAUAAAAUGGGCUUGGCAGUUUAUACCUGUGGUCCCAGCACUUGGAAGUGGGGAGACAGAGAAGAAUCAGAAGUUCAAGACCACCCUUGGCUAUAUAGGGACUUUGAGGAUAGUCUGAGACACUAACGACCCUGUAAGUAAAGAAAGGGAGGGGAGGAGGGACCCACAACAGAAAACAGUUCUGCAUUGCUAGGAGGAGUUUUUCCAAAGCUCACGUGGAAUCAUGAAAAUCUAUAGUAUCUAGGAAAAUUAAAAGGGUGCAGGGGAAGGAGAGCGCGUAGUCAGUUUGAACACAUUAAUAAUAAAUUCCAAAUCACCAAUAACGUGUUGGUGACACAUUAAGGAAAGAAAGCAUUUCCCCUUGGUGUCAUUUAACCAAGAGUAAGCUCAGAUUUUAUUUUCUAUUUCAUGUUCCCUGUGUCUUCUGUCUUCAUCCUCUGUGUGCUACACGAGUCUAAAUCUGUGCCUGCCUGAAGACUGUCUUGUAAAUCUAUCCCCACUGUGUGUUCAUCUGUCACAAAGGGCUUUGUUCUCUAUUGAGCAGCCCAGAAAGCAUAACAUGGAGAAGGAAUGAGGGAUAACAGAAAUCUUUAACAGCGUUUUACAAGGGAUUAUUAAAUCGGACUCCAAUUAACCACAACCGGCCCAGAAAACAGUAUCUCAAACACUAUUGUUUAUCGAGCAAUAUUUAAAUGUUGUGUUCAACAUUCAUGGUGGAUAUUCGCUGUAGGAGAUUGCUUUCAACUUCUGUGUUUGCUGUUUUCAGCAAAUGACACCCAUUCGUUACUGUUGGUCAGAGACACGGAGAGCACAGGACUUAAGAUUACAGCUAGGCACAGGGAAACCCAAGGGUAAGUAAGGGUGACUGUUAACACCGGUUUCUUAAAAGCUGAGCACACAGUAGGAUAGCAUCUUAAGUCAAAAGUGACUUCAGGGUCUACUAACCUUGCCUGUAAGAUCCAUCAAAAGUUCCACUCCAGUCUCUUGGAGAGGACCAAGGGCUAAUAUUCAAUAUUAUUGAAUUAAAACAAUGUCUACUGGUACAUAUAGGAAAAUGGACUGAUGAAAUGGAAACAUAACCUAGAUAAGGAGCUAGGUCCAUAGAGGUGUCAGAGAUCUGUCCUAUCUACAUGAUUCCUCAAACGAGUCAUGGAACAAAUGGCUAGAGUUCCCGGACCAAACAGGUUACACCUAUGUAAAGUUAGGUUGGUUUCUUUAACCUGUAUUUUGUACUAGGAUCCAAAGGAUCAAACAACUGGUAUAGGAAAUGAGACCAUACCACAGCAUGGUAAAACCAUUAAAACAAAGCCACAUAACAAAUUGGAAGACUAUGAAGCUCAUCACGCUUGAAGAACACCUCUAAAAGGUGGGGUCUAGUGCACAAAGAACACCAAGCAAAUUAAGGGUUAGUUGUUAAUUUUAUACAUUUAGUUUUUAAAAUGAACAUUUUAAAUUUCCAUCCUAUCAGAAUGUCCAAAUCUAGCAUUUGAACACUGUCUCUGGUGGUGAGGCCAUGGAUGAGCAAGCACACAUGUACAUGAGCUGAGCUAGUCCCUCCCUGUGGAGGGCAGAGUCCAAGUCAGUACCUCUCAAACCUACAAGUGUGUGUGGUCUUUCACCUUUGAACACUUAGAAAUGUACAUAUACAAAUGUGACAUGAUAUGUGGACAAGGUCUAGAAACAACUCAAAUGCUCAAGAAUGGUACCACUCAACUAAAUACUGGCAUAGCCAUAGUAAGGAUACCAAGCAACCAAUAAAGUGAAAAGGCUAUCUCUCUGGUGGUACAUGGCUACUGCAAUAAUUAGGUGAUAAAAAGCAGAUGGUGUGUCUGUGGUAUUACUCCAAGUAAAAUAAGAGCAAAUAGAGAAAUAAGGCUUUAUAUGUAUAUAUGUUGGCAUUUUUUUUUAAAAAGGAGAGUGUGGAUGGAAAUACAAAAAGCCAGGGACAGAGGGCAUGUGUGUGCACUAUGGGAAACUGGGAAGACAUUGUGGUAUUAGUGUAUAUUGUGUUUUUUAACCAUGUGAAUGUACCACCUAUUUGGAAAGUUAAAUAAAACAAGCAUUUUUU